GGGAAUGGAGCUCAUUGGUAGAGUGCUUGCUUAGCACGCAUGAAGCCCUGAGUUCAAUUCCUCAGCACCA
This 70-nucleotide transfer RNA is filed under the name Dipodomys ordii (Ord's kangaroo rat). It matches the Rfam family "tRNA". Rfam says of the family: Transfer RNA (tRNA) molecules are approximately 80 nucleotides in length. Their secondary structure includes four short double-helical elements and three loops (D, anti-codon, and T loops). The record is from Rfam by way of RNAcentral. Lineage: Eukaryota; Metazoa; Chordata; Mammalia; Rodentia; Heteromyidae.